This is a long non-coding RNA of Oncorhynchus keta (chum salmon), 445 nucleotides long. RefSeq lists it as uncharacterized. The transcript is spliced from 3 exons. NCBI's taxonomy places the organism in Eukaryota, Metazoa, Chordata, Actinopteri, Salmoniformes, Salmonidae. The record is from RefSeq and is a predicted model, not a curated record.
AGGGUGCACUUUGGGACAGAACCCUGUUAUCGUUGUGGUGGUGACUUCCACUCCUCUUCCUGUUGUGAAGGUUGAAUAGCAGAUGGCUUUGAAGGUGAUGUUAACCGAAGGGGUGCAGUACUCCAUAACCACCUCUCCAUCACACCGUUGUCCAUAGGUAGGUCUUGUGACUAAAUCCUCUCCCCAUCACACCGUUGUCCAUAGGUAGGUGUUGUGACUAAAUCCUCUCCCCAUCACACCGUUGUCCAUAGGUAGGUGUUGUGACUAAAUCCUCUCCCCAUCACAUCGUUGUCCAUAGGUAAGUGUUGUGACUAAAUCCUCGCCCCAGACCGUUGUCCAUAGGUAGGUCUUGUGACUAAAUCCUCUCCCCAUCCCAAUAGGUCUGUUGUUGUGAGAGGAAAGGCCGUUGGUUUUCUAAGUGCUUGAAUGUUGUUUUCCUCCCAAG